RNAcentral lists this ribosomal RNA (467 nucleotides) under uncultured bacterium. RNAcentral's name for it is "partial 16S ribosomal RNA". It matches the Rfam family "Bacterial small subunit ribosomal RNA", at positions 28 to 507 of the family's 1533-position model. The record is from RNAcentral.
GACGAACGCUGGCGGCGUGCUUAACACAUGCAAGUCGAACGGAAAGGCCCUGCUUUUGUGGGGUGCUCGAGUGGCGAACGGGUGAGUAACACGUGAGUAACCUGCCCUUGACUUUGGGAUAACUUCAGGAAACUGGGGCUAAUACCGGAUAGGAGCUCCUGCUGCAUGGUGGGGGUUGGAAAGUUUCGGCGGUUGGGGAUGGACUCGCGGCUUAUCAGCUUGUUGGUGGGGUAGUGGCUUACCAAGGCUUUGACGGGUAGCCGGCCUGAGAGGGUGACCGGCAACAUGGGGCCUGGGUUCCGCCCAGACUCCUACGGGAGGCAGCAGUGGGGAAUAUUGCACAAUGGGCGGAAGCCUGAUGCAGCAACGCCGCGUGCGGGAUGACGGCCUUCGGGUUGUAAACCGCUUUCGCCUGUGACGAAGCGUGAGUGACGGUAAUGGGUAAAGAAGCACCGGCUAACUACGUG